UUGCUAAUUACUAAAGUUGUAUUCUGGUUACUGAAAAAUGAUAUGAAAUUCAAUGUCAAGUUCAUCAUAUUGAAAAAUCUAAAGUAUUGACAUUCAGAAGUUGUGUCUGACAGGUAAACAAAAUUAAGACAGUUGCAACCUUUUACUUGCAUGCUGGUUACCAUAUAAGUCAUUUUGAUCAUGAGUACCUGAGACAGUGUGGAUAAAAUCUGAAUUUCUAUUGUACAAAGGGAGAUAAUCCAAUAAAAAUGCUGAUUUUUAAAA
RNAcentral lists this long non-coding RNA (264 nucleotides) under Mytilus galloprovincialis (Mediterranean mussel). Lineage: Eukaryota; Metazoa; Mollusca; Bivalvia; Mytilida; Mytilidae. The record is from RNAcentral.